UAUCUCUGUAGAGUCUGCAUAUCAAUAAGCGGAGGAAAAGAAACUAACAAGGAUUCCCCUAGUAACGGCGAGUGAAGCGGGAAGAGCUCAAAUUUGAAAUCUUCAAGGUUUUACCUUGACGAAUUGUAGUUUAAAGAAGUGUUUUCUGUUGAAGUUUCGGUAAAAGUUCUUUGGAAUAGGACAUCAUAGAGGGUGAGAAUCCCGUAUUUGACCGUUACUUUCCAGCUGUGUGAUACACUUUCAAAGAGUCGGAUUGUUUGGGAAUGCAGUCCAAGAUGGGUGGUAAAUUUCAUCUAAAGCUAAAUAUUGGCGAGAGACCGAUAGCGAACAAGUACCGUGAGGGAAAGAUGAAAAGAACUUUGAAAAGAGGGUUAAACAGUACGUGAAAUUGUCAAAAGGGAAGCGUUUGACACCAGUGUUGUUUAGUUGAAAAUCAAUUAAAUAGUUUUCGAUUUUAAGUAGUAUUGACCUUAUCAGCUUGCUGCUUUCUUCUCGGAAAUUAUUUAAUGCACUUUUCAGUUAACAAGUCAACAUCAAUUUCUUUUGUUGUAAAAGGGUAAGAGGAAGGUGGCUUGCGCUUCGGCUCAAGUGUUUAUAGCCUUUUAUCUCUGCAAUCGGAGAGAUUGAGGUCUGCAGCGUAGAUCCUUCGGGGUUAGAUACAUUUGUGCUAAGCUAUAGCCUUGUAUAGACAACUUGUUGACUAUGCUCAGUCAUGUAGCUUACUCGCUUAUGCUAUUUUACCUACGCUUAGGAUGUUGAUCUCUCACAGUCGAGC
Molecule: ribosomal RNA, 775 nt
Filed under: uncultured Neocallimastigales
Lineage: Eukaryota; Fungi; Neocallimastigomycota; Neocallimastigomycetes; Neocallimastigales
Description: partial large subunit ribosomal RNA
Rfam family: Eukaryotic large subunit ribosomal RNA
Source: RNAcentral